Molecule: ribosomal RNA, 253 nt
Filed under: uncultured bacterium
Lineage: Bacteria
Description: partial 16S ribosomal RNA
Rfam family: Bacterial small subunit ribosomal RNA
Source: RNAcentral
UACGAGGGGGGCAAGCGUUGUUCGGAAUUAUUGGGCGUAAAGGGCGCGUAGGCGGUGCGGUAAGUCACCUGUGAAAACUCUGGGCUCAACUCAGAGCCUGCAGGCGAAACUGCCGUGCUUGAGUGUGGGAGAGGUGCGUGGAAUUCCCGGUGUAGCGGUGAAAUGUGUAGAGAUCGGGAGGAACACCGGUGGCGAAGGCGGGUCUCUGGGCAAUUCCUGACGCUGAGGCGCGAAAGCGUGGGGAGCAAACAGG